Molecule: transfer RNA, 73 nt
Filed under: Rothia nasimurium
Lineage: Bacteria; Bacillati; Actinomycetota; Actinomycetes; Micrococcales; Micrococcaceae
Description: tRNA-Thr
Rfam family: tRNA
About the family: Transfer RNA (tRNA) molecules are approximately 80 nucleotides in length. Their secondary structure includes four short double-helical elements and three loops (D, anti-codon, and T loops).
Source: RNAcentral
GCCGGUGUAGCUCAAAUGGUAGAGCAACGCUCUUGUAAAGCGUUGGUUGCGGGUUCGACUCCCGCCACCGGCU